AGUGGGGAUUGGGGAGCCUCUGCCUGCCCAUCUCCCACUCAUCUCCUCCUCACUCCGUUUAUAUAAAUCUUAAUAAAACUGAAUAAUUGUGAAAUCUCUCGGGAAACGCAGCCGCAAUGCCCUGCUCACCCGACCCCCUCAGUAUCGCCUUCCUACCGGCCGACCAAACCCCGCCCAAGACCCCCCGUAGCUUUGCCCACGGUGCCGUUGGUCUCGGCAUCGUCGCCGCCAUGAGCACCGCCGCCGCCGACUUCAAGCUGAUCGCAGCACCGCCGCCGCGGUCGCGGUCGGAGCCGAUCCCGAUCAUGUCCCCCCGGCCGAGGGGGGCGGGUUGGAAGGACGCCGGCGAAGCGGACGAGGAGGAGGAGCUGUCGGAGAGUUACACGUGUGUCAUCUCCCACGUGGCCGGCUCAAAACGGGUGUACUUCGACGAUGGCUCCGAUGGAGUUAGAUAUAACUACGGAGCGAGUCCCGG
This 475-nucleotide unclassified non-coding RNA is filed under the name Hevea brasiliensis (rubber tree). The record is from RNAcentral. Lineage: Eukaryota; Viridiplantae; Streptophyta; Magnoliopsida; Malpighiales; Euphorbiaceae.